AUUGAACGCUGGCGGCAGGCCUAACACAUGCAAGUCGAGCGGUAGCACAGAGAGCUUGCUCUCGGGUGACGAGCGGCGGACGGGUGAGUAAUGUCUGGGAAACUGCCUGAUGGAGGGGGAUAACUACUGGAAACGGUAGCUAAUACCGCAUAACGUCGCAAGACCAACGAGGGGGACCUUCGGGCCUCUUGCCAUCAGAUGGGCCCAGAUGGGAUUAGCUAGUAGGUGGGGUAACGGCUCACCUAGGCGACGAUUCCUAGCUGGUCUGAGAGGAUGACCAGCCACACUGGAACUGAGACACGGUCCAGACUCCUACGGGAGGCAGCAGUGGGGAAUAUUGCACAAUGGGCGCAAGCCUGAUGCAGCCAUGCCGCGUGUAUGAAGAAGGCCUUCGGGUUGUAAAGUACUUUCAGCGAGGAGGAAGGCAUUGUGGUUAAUAACCACGGUGAUUGACGUUACUCGCAGAAGAAGCACCGGCUAACUCCGUGCCAGCAGCCGCCGUAA
RNAcentral lists this ribosomal RNA (504 nucleotides) under uncultured bacterium. RNAcentral describes it as "partial 16S ribosomal RNA". It matches the Rfam family "Bacterial small subunit ribosomal RNA", at positions 30 to 523 of the family's 1533-position model. The record is from RNAcentral.